Molecule: ribosomal RNA, 376 nt
Filed under: uncultured bacterium
Lineage: Bacteria
Description: bacterial SSU rRNA
Rfam family: Bacterial small subunit ribosomal RNA
Source: RNAcentral
UAAGACAGAGGGUGCAAACGUUGUUCGGAAUUACUGGGCGUAAAGCGCGUGUAGGCGGCAGCGCAAGUCGGAUGUGAAAUCCCAUGGCUCAACCAUGGAAGUGCACCCGAAACUGCGUCGCUAGAGUCCUGGAGAGGAAGGUGGAAUGCUUGGUGUAGAGGUGAAAUUCGUAGAUAUCAAGCGGAACACCGGUGGCGAAGGCGGCCUUCUGGACAGUGACUGACGCUGAGACGCGAAAGCGUGGGGAGCAAACAGGAUUAGAUACCCUGGUAGUCCACGCCGUAAACGAUGAGUGCUAGGUGUCACGGGCUUUGACCCUCGUGGUGCCGAAGCUAACGCGUUAAGCACUCCGCCUGGGGAGUACGGCCGCAAGGCU